GACGAACGCUGGCGGCGUGCUUAACACAUGCAAGUCGAACGGAAAGGCCCUGCUUUUGUGGGGUGCUCGAGUGGCGAACGGGUGAGUAACACGUGAGUAACCUUCCCUUGACUUUGGGAUAACUUCAGGAAACUGGGGCUAAUACCGGAUAGGAGCUCCUGCUGCAUGGUGGGGGUUGGAAAGUUUCGGCGGUUGGGGAUGGACUCGCGGUUUAUCAGCUUGUUGGUGGGGUAGUGGCUUACCAAGGCUUUGACGGGUAGCCGGCCUGAGAGGGUGACCGGCCACAUUGGGACUGAGAUACGGCCCAGACUCCUACGGGAGGCAGCAGUGGGGAAUAUUGCACAAUGGGCGGAAGCCUGAUGCAGCAACGCCGCGUGCGGGAUGACGGCCUUCGGGUUGUAAACCGCUUUCGCCUGUGACGAAGCGUGAGUGACGGUAAUGGGUAAAGAAGCACCGGCUAACUACGUG
Molecule: ribosomal RNA, 468 nt
Filed under: uncultured bacterium
Lineage: Bacteria
Description: partial 16S ribosomal RNA
Rfam family: Bacterial small subunit ribosomal RNA
Source: RNAcentral